GGGGGCGAGUUAGGUUCGAUGGUAGUGUAGAGGCGGAAGUAGCGAGCCGAGUUCCAUGUCUCGAAAAAACAUGGCCAUUCAAAAAUAAACGCCAACGAAAAUUACGCUCUAGCCGCUUAAGACGGCUACGUCCUCUUGGUUCCUUCCUGCGGGACCAAACAGGGCGUCAUAAAUGCAGGAUACCUUCUCCUGAAGCCCAUAGGGAAGAAGGGAAACUUAUUGGGCUGGCACCCGGCGGAUCCGGUCCCUGGGAGCCGGCGGGUGUGAGAGUAAAGCAGGGACUACGCUCGUAGAAGCUUCCUCCGGUGCAUUGCCAGACCCGGGUGCAACUCCCGGCGCCUCCACCA
This 347-nucleotide transfer-messenger RNA is filed under the name bacterium. RNAcentral describes it as "Acetocimmeria pyornia Standard tmRNA". It matches the Rfam family "transfer-messenger RNA". From Rfam's summary of the family: Bacterial tmRNA, also known as 10Sa RNA or SsrA, is named for its dual tRNA and mRNA-like properties. RNAcentral also lists the same sequence under 2 other names. The record is from RNAcentral.